This is a long non-coding RNA of Branchiostoma belcheri (Belcher's lancelet), 1131 nucleotides long. RefSeq lists it as uncharacterized. The record is from RefSeq and is a predicted model, not a curated record. Lineage: Eukaryota; Metazoa; Chordata; Leptocardii; Amphioxiformes; Branchiostomatidae. The transcript has 3 exons.
UCUGACCGGUCGCGGGGUUGAAUGAUUGUGUAACACAACGUCAUGCAUGUUCAAGCUAUAACAUUUUGCGAAGGUACAAGAUCGUGGAACUCUAGUUAUAAUAUUAUGGUAAAUAUUAUAGGUUAAGUCAGGUGAACCGAAUCUUCACCCUAUUGGCCAACUCAACAAAUACCUACGCCUAUAUAUAUAGCUAGAACAGUUGGCGCUGCACACUGGCAAGGUUAGAGGUGGCUAGAGAGCUCAAGUCGUAAGACCAGGGAAUAGGGCACACUUACAGACUCUCUAAUCUCUACUGCAGCUGUCGGUAUCUGAAACUCGUGUAGGGAAAAGAUGAGGGGAACUCCGACACUUUUGCUUCUGUUGGUCGCCUUGUUGGCCUUCAUGUUUUACCACGCUGAUGCCCAGCCGGGCACUGGUUGGGGGUGCCCUCCACUUUGCCGCAGGGUGGAAGGUGACGACGAGACUCACGCCGCAGCAGAGCGCGAGGCCCGAGACCUGGCAGCAGUUGUUCCCCAGGUGAAUGAUGAGGCGGAGGAGUGGGCUGAAGAGGAUGGGCUCCUCGCCAGGCUUGGAGCAAAGCCCUGAUCCACGUGCCGACUUGGGUGCCAAAACAGUGAUUGCUGUGUGAGGGGCCUUGUUUGCUGUGACGACUGAAGGAUGGUCAGACAUCAUCCAGUGCUACACUUGCUUCAUACGCUCAACGGCUCACUACCGUCAGAGGCCCACAUUGUGCUUUCACCUUCACCUUGUGCUUUAAGCCGCAUGUAUUCCUCUUAAAUCAGCUUCAGGUAUAGCAGAAACUUCUGUAGAGUGUACGAAAUGUGUUCAUUAUCAGAAGCCGCAGUUUCAUAUCAAGCACUUUAACAGAUAAGGAACUGCCGACACCAUCCUUUUUAUUGUAAUGCAGAGACAAUUAAUGAUAAACUAUUCAUUCAUUUAACUACAAAGUUACUCUGUAUAUGUCGGUGUGGCCUUAUGUUGACAAGUUCUAAUUAUAUUAAUUAGUUUGCCAACUGCAUGCCAUAUGUACAGAGAGCACGUGAUAUAUACAUGUAUGUCCGACUCAGCAUUUGGCGAAGCUUGAGACGCUGGGAAAGUCAAUAUACCCUAUCAAUAAAUACUUUAACCCGU